Zalophus californianus (California sea lion) is the source of this 107-nucleotide small nuclear RNA. The record is from Ensembl. NCBI's taxonomy places the organism in Eukaryota, Metazoa, Chordata, Mammalia, Carnivora, Otariidae.
GUGCUCACUUUGGCAGCACAUAUAUUAAAACUGGAAUGAUAAAGAGAAGACUUGCUUGCCUCUGUGACAAGGAUGACACACAAAUUCAUGAAGUAUUCAGUAUUUUU